AUGUCCUGCCCAACGAGGAAGGCCCCCGCUGGCGCCCGCGACGGCCGCGUCCUCUUCGAUUGGAUCUCCCUCAUGAACAGAAGCGAGCUCGUUGAGUUCUACCAUGAUGGUCGCCGCCUCACUCGGACCAAACGGGAGCGGUGCAAAGCCGCUGACUUUCACCUUGCCAUCUGUGACCCCCUGUCCAGGAGGUAUGUGCUGCUUCCAACCAUACCUGAGGAUCUGGCCGCCCAGCCGCAUGAUUGCCUAUGGGAAUUCGAGCCCAUUCUUGCUCCCAAAACCAACAACAACAACGAGGAGGAGCCCUUCAAGGUGAUAUGCAUAGGAAGAUGCCGAAGAAAGGUCAUCCUCUUUGUCUUCCGGUCCACAACUAUGCAAUGGUAUGUGGUUGAGUCUCCUGACCACCUUUCUUUGGAGGACAUGUCAUGUUUUGAUUGUGUACGGGACUGCUUCUACUCGACACGUCUCUGGUUUUGGAGUGACCAUUUGAUGGUGCUGGACACACGCACUUUGAAGUUUUCAACCGUCUAUUUUCUAACCAGCUACCAUCGGCAGCUCGGAGACACUGACCCGAGCUAUGAUAAUCGGCGUCCAAAUGAAGUUGCUGAGGGUAGGGAAGGAGCCAUUGAGAUGUUUACUUUUGUCUGCCAACACGGGUCCUAUGCUCUCCACCAUACCUCUCUGCAGGAUAAUUCUCAUGAAUGGAAGCUGCAGAAGAUCGUACAACUACCUGGACAAUAUCAUGCCUAUUCCAUUUCCACAGUGGGUGCAGCUGAGGGAUUCUUGUUCUUCCAAGGUGCUCUGCCUGGCAUUGAGAUUGGCAAUGUUGAUUGUUACUCAAUGGAUAUCAAAACUUAUGAAAUUGCCAAGGUCUGUAUAAAGACGGUGUAUAUGUUUGAUCGCAAACGUGCCAUCCCCUACUUUAGCUUCCCACGGCUGUUAUCAGAACCAACUAUUUGA
RNAcentral lists this ribosomal RNA (960 nucleotides) under Triticum aestivum (bread wheat). RNAcentral's name for it is "partial small subunit ribosomal RNA". Lineage: Eukaryota; Viridiplantae; Streptophyta; Magnoliopsida; Poales; Poaceae. The record is from RNAcentral.